GUGCCGCUAGGAGGCUUCCAGUGUUAUACCCGUGCCCAAAAACCUAGGCUAAUUUCAACUUUUGGACAUAAGUAAUGCAACCCAGGUGACAACCACUAGUAAUUUAUGGAUUUUUCGGGCUUAAAUAGUAAAAUAUGCCAAGAGAUGGGUCCCACACAUUGGAAACACCUUAGAAGGGCCCCAUUCAACUUAAAUAUCCAUUUCCACACAAAGGGACCAAUUCGGCCUUCACCGGUGAACACCUCCAGUGAAUACAUAGGCCAAAACUGGGUUAUUUGGCCAUAGGGCCCGGGCCCUUGCACUUGUGCACCUUAAACCACUCCUAAUAGUUGGGACAACAUAUUGGGGAAUGGAUUAAUAUAUUGAGACACCCCAAUGUGGGCCCAAUAGUGCCAAAUGACGGAUCAACCCAGUAGUGGGUGAAAACCUAUUUUUCCUCCAAACGGUCCUUAGGCAACUUAGUGGCUAUAAAUAGAAGCCCUUGCCUUUCAUUUCUCCACCUAACAAAGAAAAAAAAAAGAAGAGGAAGGAGAAAGGAGAAGAAGAAGAAGAAGGAGAAGAGCAAGGGAGGAGGAAGAAUAGAGGGAGCAAGGGGAAUACUUGCCUACCCAUUUGAGGAUCUUCACACGAGGAAGGCGAUUGGUAGAGGGCGUGGAAAAGAUGGUUUAUAUUAUCUCAACUGUGGCUCUCCUACUUCUUCUGCUGCUACUACUGCUGUUGGGGAUGCUCCUUUCCAAUGGCACUGUCGUUUAGGGCAUUUGUCUUUGUCUAGGUUGAAACUUUUAUUUCCUAGUUUUAAGUCUAUGCUUAGGUUCGAAUGUGAAGCCUGUGAGUGGGAAAAACAUCACCUUGUGUCCUUCCCAUCUCGUUCUGUCUCGUAGUCCAUCUUUAUUUUCUUUAGUCCAUUCUGAUGUAUGGGGUCCUUGCAGAGUUAGUAAUAGAUUUGGUUUUCGUUAUUUUGUGACCUUUGUGGAUGAUCAUUCUCGUCUUACAUGGCUGUAUAUGUUAAAGGACAGAUCUGAAUUUUUAUCUGUGUUCCAGAAAUUUUAUAAUGAAAUAAAAAUUCAGUUUGGCAUUUUAAUUAA
This is a long non-coding RNA of Macadamia integrifolia, 1085 nucleotides long. RefSeq lists it as uncharacterized. NCBI's taxonomy places the organism in Eukaryota, Viridiplantae, Streptophyta, Magnoliopsida, Proteales, Proteaceae. The record is from RefSeq and is a predicted model, not a curated record. The transcript is spliced from 2 exons.